Small nucleolar RNA from Meriones unguiculatus (Mongolian gerbil), 132 nucleotides. The record is from Ensembl. Lineage: Eukaryota; Metazoa; Chordata; Mammalia; Rodentia; Muridae.
CCCGCCUCCAAAGGCACUGCAGGUGUGGCUGCUAUGCCACACGUAUGUCAGUGGGUGGUAAGGAGGAGAGAGGUCAUGUCUCUGCUCAGUGUUCUAACCUGCAAACAUCUGAAUGAUUAGUAGCUUAGUAUU